RNAcentral lists this transfer RNA (72 nucleotides) under Bos taurus (domestic cattle). It matches the Rfam family "tRNA". Rfam says of the family: Transfer RNA (tRNA) molecules are approximately 80 nucleotides in length. Their secondary structure includes four short double-helical elements and three loops (D, anti-codon, and T loops). Further hydrogen bonds mediate the characteristic L-shaped molecular structure. tRNAs have two regions of fundamental functional importance: the anti-codon, which is responsible for specific mRNA codon recognition, and the 3' end, to which the tRNAs corresponding amino acid is attached (by aminoacyl-tRNA synthetases). tRNAs cope with the degeneracy of the genetic code in two manners: having more than one tRNA (with a specific anti-codon) for a particular amino acid; and 'wobble' base-pairing, i.e. permitting non-standard base-pairing at the 3rd anti-codon position. The record is from Rfam by way of RNAcentral. RNAcentral also lists the same sequence under 4 other names. Lineage: Eukaryota; Metazoa; Chordata; Mammalia; Artiodactyla; Bovidae.
UCCCUGGUGGUCUAGCAGCUAGAAUUUCUGGUUUUAAUCCAGGCUACCCAGGUUCAACUUCUGGGCAGGGAA